UGAGUACGAGAUGCUACGGCAUUGAAGCAGUCUAUGUCAUACUUCCAAGAAAAGCUUGCACUGUCAUAAACAAAGAAUGCCUGUACCAUAACCGACACAGGUGGGUAGGUAGAGUAUACUAAGGGGCGCGAGAUAACUCUCUCUAAGGAACUCGGCAAAAUGACUCCGUAACUUCGGGAGAAGGAGUGCCUUAUUUUUAAGGUUGCAAUAACAAGAUCCAAGCAACUGUUUAUCAAAAACACAGGUCUCCGCUAAGUCGUAAGACGAUGUAUGGGGGCUGACGCCUGCCCAGUGCCAGAAGGUUAAAGAAGUUGGUUAGCAUUCGCGAAGCUGAUAACUGAAGCCCUGGUGAACGGCGGCCGUAACAAUAACGGUCCUAAGGUAGCGAAAUUCCUUGUCGGGUAAGUUCCGACCCGCACGAAAGGCGUAAUGAUUUGGAUACUGUCUCGGAGAGGGACUCGGUGAAAUAGACUUGUCUGUGAAGAUGCGGACUACCUGCACCUGGACAGAAAGACCCUAUGAAGCUUUACUGUAACUUGAAAUUGAAAUUGGACUUUAGUUGCGCAGGAUAGGUGGGAGGCGUUGAGAAUAUUCUUGCGGGAGUAUUGGAGCCAUCAGUGAGAUACCACUCUUCUAAUGUUAGAUUUCUAACUUUGUAUCAUUAUCUGGUCAAAGAACAGUUUCAGGCGGGCAGUUUGACUGGGGCGGUCGCCUCCUAAAGGGUAACGGAGGCGCACAAAGGUUUCCUCUGAACGAGUAGAAAUCGUAUCUAGAGUGUAAAGGCAUAAGGAAGCUUGACUGUGAGACCUACAAGUCGAGCAGGGACGAAAGUCGGUCUUAGUGAUCUGACGGUGCUGAGUGGAAAGGCCGUCACUCAACGGAUAAAAGUUACUCUAGGAUAACAGGCUGAUCUCCCCCAAGAGUUCACAUCGACGGGGAGGUUUGGCACCUCGAUGUCGGCUCAUCGCAUCCUGGGGCGGUAGUACGUCCCAAGGGUUGGGCUGUUCGCCCAUGAAAGCGGUACGCGAGCUGGGUUCAGAACGUCGUGAGACAGUUCGGUCCAUAUCCGGUGUAGGCGCUAGAAUAUUGAGAGGAGCCUUCUCUAGUACGAGAGGACCGAGAAGGACAUACCUCUAGUGUACCAGUUAUCGUGCCAACGGUAAACGCUGGGUAGCUAUGUAUGGAGUGGAUAACCGCUGAAAGCAUCUAAGUGGGAAGCCCACCUCAAGAUAAGUAUUCCC
Molecule: ribosomal RNA, 1241 nt
Filed under: metagenome
Description: bacterial LSU rRNA
Rfam family: Bacterial large subunit ribosomal RNA
Source: RNAcentral